ACUAAACGUUAUACGGCCGCGGAAUUCUGACCGUGCAUCGGUAGCAUAAUCAUUUGUUCUCUAAAUAAGGACUUGUAUGUAACGGCCACACGAGGGUUUUACUGUCUCUUACUUCCAAUCAGUGAAAUUGACCUCCCCGUGUAGAGGCGGGAAUGAGUUCACAAGACGAGAAGACCCUAUGGAUCUCUAACUAACUAGGCCAAGGAAAAUAAAUUUUGACCACCAAGGAAUAACACAUCGUUUAGGGAAUAGCAGUUUUGGU
RNAcentral lists this ribosomal RNA (262 nucleotides) under Capra hircus (goat). RNAcentral's name for it is "partial 16S ribosomal RNA". It matches the Rfam family "Archaeal large subunit ribosomal RNA", at positions 1989 to 2340 of the family's 2987-position model. Lineage: Eukaryota; Metazoa; Chordata; Mammalia; Artiodactyla; Bovidae. The record is from RNAcentral.